GAUGAACGCUGGCGGCGUGCCUAAUACAUGCAAGUCGAGCGAACAGACGAGGAGCUUGCUCCUCUGACGUUAGCGGCGGACGGGUGAGUAACACGUGGAUAACCUACCUAUAAGACUGGGAUAACUUCGGGAAACCGGAGCUAAUACCGGAUAAUAUAUUGAACCGCAUGGUUCAAUAGUGAAAGACGGUUUUGCUGUCACUUAUAGAUGGAUCCACGCCGCAUUAGCUAGUUGGUAAGGUAACGGCUUACCAAGGCAACGAUGCGUAGCCGACCUGAGAGGGUGAUCGGCCACACUGGAACUGAGACACGGUCCAGAAUCCUACGGGAGGCAGCAGUAGGGAAGAUUCCGCAAUGGGCGAAAGCCUGACGGAGCAACGCCGCGUGAGUGAUGAAGGUCUUCGGAUCGUAAAACUCUGUUAUUAGGGAAGAACAAAUGUGUAAGUAACUAUGCACGUCUUGACGGUACCUAAUCAGAAAGCCACGGCUAACUACGUG
This 497-nucleotide ribosomal RNA is filed under the name uncultured bacterium. RNAcentral describes it as "partial 16S ribosomal RNA". It matches the Rfam family "Bacterial small subunit ribosomal RNA", at positions 28 to 507 of the family's 1533-position model. The record is from RNAcentral.